RNAcentral lists this ribosomal RNA (116 nucleotides) under Salmonella enterica. Lineage: Bacteria; Pseudomonadati; Pseudomonadota; Gammaproteobacteria; Enterobacterales; Enterobacteriaceae. The record is from RNAcentral. RNAcentral also lists the same sequence under 1 other name.
CCUGGCGGCACUAGCGCGGUGGUCCCACCUGACCCCAUGCCGAACUCAGAAGUGAAACGCCGUAGCGCCGAUGGUAGUGUGGGGUCUCCCCAUGCUAGAGUAGGGAACUGCCAGGC